RNAcentral lists this ribosomal RNA (449 nucleotides) under uncultured bacterium. RNAcentral's name for it is "partial 16S ribosomal RNA". It matches the Rfam family "Bacterial small subunit ribosomal RNA", at positions 29 to 523 of the family's 1533-position model. The record is from RNAcentral.
AACGAACGCUGGCGGCAUGCCUAACACAUGCAAGUCGAACGAGAUCUUCGGGUCUAGUGGCGCACGGGUGCGUAACGCGUGGGAAUCUGCCCUUUGGUUCGGAAUAACAGUUGGAAACGACUGCUAAUACCGGAUGAUGACGAAAGUCCAAAGAUUUAUCGCCAGAGGAUGAGCCCGCGUAGGAUUAGCUAGUUGGGGUGGUAAAGGCGCACCAAGGCGACGUUCCUUAGCUGGUCUGAGAGGAUGAUCAGCCACACUGGGACUGAGACACGGACCAGACUCCUACGGGAGGCAGCAGUGGGGAAUAUUGGACAAUGGGCGAAAGCCUGAUCCAGCAAUGCCGCGUGAGUGAUGAAGGCCUUAGGGUUGUAAAGCUCUUUUACCCGGGAUGAUAAUGACAGUACCGGGAGAAUAAGCUCCGGCUAACUCCGUGCCAGCAGCCGCAGUAA